Molecule: long non-coding RNA, 425 nt
Organism: Bubalus bubalis (water buffalo)
Lineage: Eukaryota; Metazoa; Chordata; Mammalia; Artiodactyla; Bovidae
Exons: 3
Source: RefSeq, a predicted model, not a curated record
UGAGAAUCAACAUUUCGUUCAGAAUUGGUGUCUUAUAAAGUCAGCACCCGUAGAAAGCUGGAUUUCAAGGACACAACUUAAUACUAAAGUAGGCAUCAAGGGAAAAUGUCAAGUACUUGGAGAAUAGAUAUUUACCUAGUUACAGCCAGCAAGUGGCAAAGCACUAGAGAGUGUGUCACCUGAGCACAGCCUGUAAACAAGGUGCUGGGAGCUGAAGGAGGGUACUGAGCAUGAUCCCUGCACACAGCACCAAGGGGUGGGCAGAUCACCUAACCAGCCCUCCAGCCCAACCCACAGAUCUGCUCCCACCAGAUCCCCACUUAAGGAACCAGCCCACCCUCCCUCAGAGAAUGAGCAAGGGGACUUGUUACCUGUUUUUGCUCUGGAAUAGCAUGAAUCCCAAUAAAGCCAUGCCUGAAUUCCUC